Molecule: ribosomal RNA, 796 nt
Filed under: uncultured archaeon
Lineage: Archaea
Description: bacterial SSU rRNA
Rfam family: Archaeal small subunit ribosomal RNA
Source: RNAcentral
ACUGCUCAGUAACACGUGGAUAACCUGCCCUUGGGUCCGGCAUAACCCCGGGAAACUGGGGAUAAUUCCGGAUAACGCACAUAUGCUGGAGUGCUUUAUGCGUAAAAUGGAUUCGUCUGCCCAAGGAUGGGUCUGCGGCCUAUCAGGUAGUAGUGGGUGUAAUGUACCUACUAGCCUACAACGGGUACGGGUUGUGAGAGCAAGAGCCCGGAGAUGGAUUCUGAGACAUGAAUCCAGGCCCUACGGGGCGCAGCAGGCGCGAAAACUUUACAAUGCGGGAAACCGUGAUAAGGGGACACCGAGUGCCAGCAUCAUAUGCUGGCUGUCCAGGUGUGUAAAAUACACCUGUUAGCAAGGGCCGGGCAAGACCGGUGCCAGCCGCCGCGGUAACACCGGCGGCCCGAGUGGUGAUCGUGAUUAUUGGGUCUAAAGGGUCCGUAGCCGGUUUGGUCAGUCCUCCGGGAAAUCUGAUAGCUCAACUAUUAGGCUUUCGGGGGAUACUGCCAGGCUUGGAACCGGGAGAGGUAAGAGGUACUACAGGGGUAGGAGUGAAAUCUUGUAAUCCCUGUGGGACCACCUGUGGCGAAGGCGUCUUACCAGAACGGGUUCGACGGUGAGGGACGAAAGCUGGGGGCACGAACCGGAUUAGAUACCCGGGUAGUCCCAGCCGUAAACGAUGCUCGCUAGGUGUCAGGCAUGGCGCGACCGUGUCUGGUGCCGCAGGGAAGCCGUGAAGCGAGCCACCUGGGAAGUACGGCCGCAAGGCUGAAACUUAAAGGAAUUGGCGGGGGAGCAC